RNAcentral lists this ribosomal RNA (389 nucleotides) under uncultured bacterium. RNAcentral's name for it is "bacterial SSU rRNA". It matches the Rfam family "Bacterial small subunit ribosomal RNA", at positions 28 to 418 of the family's 1533-position model. The record is from RNAcentral.
GACGAACGCUGGCGGCGUGCUUAACACAUGCAAGUCGAGCGGUAAGGCCCUUUCGGGGGUACACGAGCGGCGAACGGGUGAGUAACACGUGGGUGACCUGCCCUCAGCUCUGGGAUAAGCCUGGGAAACCGGGUCUAAUACUGGAUAUGACUCCAUGACGCAUGUUGUGGGGUGGAAAGCCUUGUGCGGCUGAGGAUGGGCCCGCGGCCUAUCAGCUUGUUGGUGGGGUGAGGCCUACCAAGGCGACGACGGGUAGCCGGCCUGAGAGGGCGACCGGCCACACUGGGACUGAGACACGGCCCAGACUCCUACGGGAGGCAGCAGUGGGGAAUCUUGCGCAAUGGGCGAAAGCCCUGACGCAGCGACGCCGCGUGAGGGAUGACGGCCUC